UAGUCUGGAGUCACGAGUAGUUAC
RNAcentral lists this unclassified non-coding RNA (24 nucleotides) under Mus musculus (house mouse). RNAcentral describes it as "oocyte_clustered_small_RNA12397". Lineage: Eukaryota; Metazoa; Chordata; Mammalia; Rodentia; Muridae. The record is from RNAcentral.